This 90-nucleotide non-coding RNA is filed under the name Ruaniaceae bacterium. RNAcentral describes it as "Glycine sequence". It matches the Rfam family "Glycine riboswitch aptamer". Rfam says of the family: This family represents the bacterial glycine riboswitch. Lineage: Bacteria; Bacillati; Actinomycetota; Actinomycetes; Micrococcales; Ruaniaceae. The record is from RNAcentral.
CAAGGCCACUCUGGAAAGCAGGCGAAAGCCUCACCCACGGUGCAAGCCCCCAGGGGUGAAGCUCUCAGGUACCACGACAGAGGGGGGAUC